GGGAAUUUUCCGCAAUGGGCGAAAGCCUGACGGAGCAACGCCGCGUGAGGGAUGAAGGCCUCUGGGCUGUAAACCUCUUUUAUCAAGGAAGAAGAUCUGACGGUACUUGAUGAAUAAGCCACGGCUAAUUCCGUGCCAGCAGCCGCGGUAAUACGGGAGUGGCAAGCGUUAUCCGGAAUUAUUGGGCGUAAAGCGUCCGCAGGCGGUUUUACAAGUCUGUCGUUAAAACGUGGAGCUUAACUCCAUUUCAGCGAUGGAAACUGUAGAACUAGAGUGUGGUAGGGGCAGAGGGAAUUCCCGGUGUAGCGGUGAAAUGCGUAGAUAUCGGGAAGAACACCAGUGGCGAAGGCGCUCUGCUGGGCCAUAACUGACGCUCAUGGACGAAAGCCAGGGGAGCGAAAGGGAUUAGAUACCCCUGUAGUC
This 423-nucleotide ribosomal RNA is filed under the name uncultured cyanobacterium. Its description in RNAcentral is "bacterial SSU rRNA". It matches the Rfam family "Bacterial small subunit ribosomal RNA", at positions 357 to 795 of the family's 1533-position model. The record is from RNAcentral. Lineage: Bacteria; Bacillati; Cyanobacteriota.